ACAGAAACAGAGCUGGAGAACAGAGGAUCAGGAACAGAAACAUAGAGCUGGAGAACAGGGGAUCAGGAACAGAAACAUAGAGCUGGAGAACAGAGGAUCAGGAACAGAAACAUAGAGCUGGAGAACAGGGGAUCAGGAACAGAAAUAUAGAGCUGGAGAACAGAGGAUCAGGAACAGAAACAUAGAGCUGGAGAACAGAGGAUCAGGAACAGAAACAGAGCUGGAGAACAGAGGAUCAGGAACAGAAACAUAGAGCUGGAGAACAGGGGAUCAGGAACAGAAACAUAGAGCUGGAGAACAGGGGAUCAGGAACAGAAACAUAGAGCUGGAGAACAGAGGAUCAGGAACAGAAACAUAGAGCUGGAGAACAGGGGAUCAGGAACAGAAAUAUAGAGCUGGAGAACAGAGGAUCAGGAACAGAAACAUAGAGCUGGAGAACAGGGGAUCAGGAACAGAAACAUAGAGCUGGAGAACAGGGGAUCAGGAACAGAAACAUAGAGCUGGAGAACAGGGGAUCAGGAACAGAAACAUAGAGCUGGGGAACAGGGGAUCAGGAACAGAAACAUAGAGCUGGAGAACAGGGGAUCAGGAACAGAAACAUAGAGCUGGAGAACAGGGGAUCAGGAACAGAAACAUAGAGCUGGAGAACAGGGGAUCAGGAACAGAAACAUAGAGCUGGAGAACAGGG
RNAcentral lists this long non-coding RNA (688 nucleotides) under Salmo salar (Atlantic salmon). RNAcentral's name for it is "lncRNA (ENSSSAG00000103676.1)". The record is from RNAcentral. Lineage: Eukaryota; Metazoa; Chordata; Actinopteri; Salmoniformes; Salmonidae.